CCUACGGGGAGCAGCAGUGAGGAAUAUUGGUCAAUGGGCGCGAGCCUGAACCAGCCAAGUCGCGUGAGGGAAGACGGUCCUAUGGAUUGUAAACCUCUUUUGUCGGGGAGCAAAAGACGCCACGCGUGGCGUUCCGAGAGUACCCGAAGAAAAAGCACCGCCUAACUCCGUGCCAGCAGCCGCGGUACUACGGGGGAUGCGAGCGUUAUCCGGAUUUAUUGGGUUUAAAGGGGGCGCAGGCGGAAGAUCAAGUCAGCGGUAAAAUUGAGAGGCUCAACCUCUUCGAGCCGUUGAAACUGGUUGUCUUGAGUGAGCGAGAAGUAUGCGGAAUGCGUGGUGUAGCGGUGAAAUGCAUAGAUAUCACGCAGAACUCCGAUUGCGAAGGCAGCAUACCGGCGCUCAACUGACGCUCAUGCACGAAAGUGUGGGUAUCGAACAGGAUUAGAUACCCUAGUAGUG
RNAcentral lists this ribosomal RNA (459 nucleotides) under uncultured bacterium. Its description in RNAcentral is "partial 16S ribosomal RNA". It matches the Rfam family "Bacterial small subunit ribosomal RNA", at positions 338 to 795 of the family's 1533-position model. The record is from RNAcentral.